AUUGAACGCUGGCGGCAUGCCUUACACAUGCAAGUCGAACGGCAGCACGGGAGCAAUCCUGGUGGCGAGUGGCGAACGGGUGAGUAAUAUAUCGGAACGUGCCCAGUCGUGGGGAUAACGUAGCGAAAGCUACGCUAAUACCGCAUACGAUCUAUGGAUGAAAGCGGGGGAUCGCAAGACCUCGCGCGAUUGGAGCGGCCGAUAUCAGAUUAGGUAGUUGGUGAGGUAAAGGCUCACCAAGCCGACGAUCUGUAGCUGGUCUGAGAGGACGACCAGCCACACUGGGACUGAGACACGGCCCAGACUCCUACAGGAGGCAGCAGUGGGGGAAUUUUUGGACAAUGGGCGCAAGCCUGAUCCAGCAAUGCCGCGUGCAGGAUGAAGGCCUU
This 389-nucleotide ribosomal RNA is filed under the name uncultured bacterium. Its description in RNAcentral is "bacterial SSU rRNA". It matches the Rfam family "Bacterial small subunit ribosomal RNA", at positions 30 to 418 of the family's 1533-position model. The record is from RNAcentral.